UAAUGUUAGAAUCUGGAUAGGUCUCCUUUU
This 30-nucleotide non-coding RNA is filed under the name Mus musculus (house mouse). The record is from RNAcentral. Lineage: Eukaryota; Metazoa; Chordata; Mammalia; Rodentia; Muridae.